RNAcentral lists this ribosomal RNA (253 nucleotides) under uncultured bacterium. Its description in RNAcentral is "partial 16S ribosomal RNA". It matches the Rfam family "Bacterial small subunit ribosomal RNA", at positions 524 to 776 of the family's 1533-position model. The record is from RNAcentral.
UACGGAGGAUGCAAGCGUUAUCCGGAAUGAUUGGGCGUAAAGAGCUCGUAGGUGGUUUGUCGCGUUGUCCGUGAAAACUCACAACUCAAUUGUGGGCGUGCGGGCGAUACGGGCAGACUGGAGUACUGCAGGGGAGACUGGAAUUCCUGGUGUAGCGGUGGAAUGCGCAGAUAUCAGGAGGAACACCGGUGGCGAAGGCGGGUCUCUGGGCCGAUACUGACGCUGAGGAGCGAAAGCGUGGGGAGCGAACAGG